Nelumbo nucifera (sacred lotus) is the source of this 2154-nucleotide non-coding RNA. NCBI's taxonomy places the organism in Eukaryota, Viridiplantae, Streptophyta, Magnoliopsida, Proteales, Nelumbonaceae. The record is from RefSeq and is a predicted model, not a curated record.
GAUAAAGAAGAUUAUUCAGUAUCAUCUCCAGAUGAUACUAUUAUUCGCCCAAUUAUUCAGUAUCAUCACCAGAAGUACUGGCUUUACUUGAAGAGGGUGCAAGGACUUUUCUGUAGUGGCGGUGGUGGUGCUGGGGUGGCGGGGUUACCUCCUGCUGAUCCUGCGACGGAUCAUUUGUUUGCCAGUGAACUUCUGGGUUCAGAAAAAAAAAAUGAUAUAGACGGGUUUUCAGUUCAAAGGAUAGAUCGGUGAAACGAGGAACGAGGAAAGAGGAGAGCAGACAAAAUAGAAACACACAGAGAAAGAGAGUAAGAGAAAAGCAAUGAAGAAGAAGAAGAAGAAUGAAGAUUUUUCAGAGCUUGAACUUCUCCUGAAUGGAUUGUUGAAAGUGUUUUCUUCUUCAUCGUAAUCAACCAAAUGCUGUAUUCAGAUCACAAACAUGAUGUGGCCAGAGCAGAGGAUGCCCUGACCCUUUCAUAUGGCAGUGAGCUAAUUGGCAUGCAGAGGGACUGGAAUGAGGAACUACAGUCUUGUUGGGAGUUCCUCAUACGACUCCUCAGGAAAGGUGUAGUUUUAACAUUUUUCUGUUAUGCAUCCAUUUCAUGUCUACCUGAUGUUCUCAUCAUCCAUGGAUUUUUAGUUUUAACUAUUUAUUGAUAACUUUCUUGACAUUAUAUCGCCCCCCCAAGUGUUUUGUCAAUUACAAGUGGCGUCAGUGGUUUUCAUUAAUUAUCAAGAUAAUUUUUGUUGCAGGAUCUUGCAUGAUAGGGCUCUCUAUAUAAGGUUACAUCUGAUUUUGUUGAUGCAGCAAUUAGUGGUGCAAUUGGAGUCAUUAAUAGAUGCAUACCCCUAUUAAUCCAACAGAUCCAGAGUGUUUUCACAUAUAAGCUUGUACCAAAAUAUACCAAAAUGUUUUUACAUCUCAUUUUGUUCUAAAUGAUAGAAUAAUAUUUCUGAAAAAUAGGUCUAAGGUGGCAUGAUCUGUAAAAAACACAGGUUGGGGGAAUUUCAACUUGACUCAUGUCAACUCAGGAAGCAUUGCCCUUGGGAGUCACAUUGCAAAACUGAAUGGACUAACACACUUCAUAAUUUAAAUGGACUCGGGUGUUUGGGUUGGAUUAUUAGCUGGAUGUUGAACCCAAAUUUUUUUUGGUGUACUGCAAAGUUUCAUCUGCACUGGUAUAAUUUGCAUGAAAGUGUAAAUGGGUUAAUUUGAGUUGUGUUUUUUCUUUCUUUUAAUUGAAGCUGAGGUUUCUUUGAGGAAGGAAGAGAGAGCUUUUUGAUUUCUACAAGUAAGCUUUUAGGAGAGGAAUGGAUAGAAGUAGACAGAAAUACAAAGUUUGGAUUCCGAGUAUAAUGCAAACCUUGCUAAGUGGACAGAAAAGUUUGUUUUACAUUCUAUGAAAGAAAACUGAAAAACACAUUUUUUAUUAGUAACAGAGCAUUUUAUUAAAAGAGAAAUAUUAAGAGAAUAAUACAGAGUUGGGAAGUUGUUACUUUGUAUUGAAAAUAUACCAAAGGAAAGUUCCAUGGAAGGCAUUUCUAUAGAGGGCCAUCAUUAUGAAAGUUUCUAAUUGGGUGGCAAAAUCUUGAUCAGCAAGGUCUCUACUCAUCUCAUAAUGGAAGCCUCCACAUGUAAAUAUGAUAAAACUGAAUUUUGACUGUUGAAGUAGAGGAACCCCGGAUAUUCAGGUGGGGGGAGGAGGAUUUACUGACUUUGGGGGGGCCAAGGCUAGCAAAAUCUCUUAACUACACAAGAUUGAUAGUGGAAGAGGACUCCAAAGUAUUGGUGGGUUGGCCGAAAAAGGAAGGACCGGUUCAUGGCAAUAUGGCAUUACAGUAUGAGGGAGACAGGGGAUGAUAAGCCACAUACAGAUUCAUAAUCAGCUGAUCAACCAACAGUUUGCCUGAUGCCAUGGCUAUAAAGGGGUUAACAUAAAAGAAAGUUGGGUAACAGUUUCGCUGUCUCCGUUGGUAUUUGUUGGUUUAUCUUUACGUUUCUCUCUAUUUGAGCCGAUGGUGUGAGCGUAGUGUUUACUAUACACUGUCCUUCCUGAGUUUUUUUGGCAACUGACAAUUGAGAAAGGUGGUGGGUUUUUCAAAAUCGAUGAAUUAGAAUUUUUAAUCAUUUUUUAGUGAAAUGAGUUUAUAUGA